This 388-nucleotide ribosomal RNA is filed under the name uncultured bacterium. RNAcentral's name for it is "bacterial SSU rRNA". It matches the Rfam family "Bacterial small subunit ribosomal RNA", at positions 30 to 416 of the family's 1533-position model. The record is from RNAcentral.
AUUGAACGCUGGCGGCAUGCCUUACACAUGCAAGUCGAACGGCAGCACGGGAGCUUGCUCCUGGUGGCGAGUGGCGAACGGGUGAGUAAUACAUCGGAACGUACCCUGAAGUGGGGGAUAACGUAGCGAAAGUUACGCUAAUACCGCAUAUUCUGUGAGCAGGAAAGAGGGGGAUCGCAAGACCUCUUGCUUUAGGAGCGGCCGAUGUCGGAUUAGCUAGUUGGUGAGGUAAAGGCUCACCAAGGCGACGAUCCGUAGCGGGUCUGAGAGGAUGAUCCGCCACACUGGGACUGAGACACGGCCCAGACUCCUACGGGAGGCAGCAGUGGGAAAUUUUGGACAAUGGGCGCAAGCCUGAUCCAGCCAUGCCGCGUGAGUGAAGAAGGCC